This 510-nucleotide ribosomal RNA is filed under the name Ptycta sp. n. B ECB-2013. RNAcentral's name for it is "partial 16S ribosomal RNA". The stretch from base 377 to 510 matches the Rfam family "Bacterial large subunit ribosomal RNA", at positions 2473 to 2607 of the family's 2925-position model. Lineage: Eukaryota; Metazoa; Arthropoda; Insecta; Psocodea; Psocidae. The record is from RNAcentral.
AAAACAUGUCUUUUUGAUAAAAAUUUAAAGUCCGGUCUGCUCACUGAAUUAUUUUAAAGAGCCGCAGUAUAUUGACUGUGCAAAGGUAGCAUAAUCAAUAGUUUUUUAAUUGAAAACUAGAAUGAAAGAUUAGACGAAAAAUUAAUUUUCUUUAUUUUAGUAAAUUUAAUUUUAAAUUUAAGUGAAAAUGCUUAAAUAAAAUUAAAAGACGAGAAGACCCUAUAGAUUUUUAUUAUUGAAAUAAAUUUUUAAAUUUAAUUUAAUAAAAUAAUUUAAUUGGGGCGAUUUUAUAAUAUAAAUAACUUAAUUUUUUAAAACCAUAAAUAAUUGAAUGUUUGAUCUAAAAUUUUUAAAGGAAAGAUUAAAUUACCUUAGGGAUAACAGCGUAAUUUUAUUUAAGAGUUCAUAUCUAUAAUAAAGUUUGCGACCUCGAUGUUGAAUUAAGAUAAUAUAUUGGAGUAGAAAUUAAUAUAAUUAGUCUGUUCGACUAUUAAAUUCUUACGUGAUCUG